Molecule: long non-coding RNA, 3486 nt
Organism: Xenopus laevis (African clawed frog)
Lineage: Eukaryota; Metazoa; Chordata; Amphibia; Anura; Pipidae
Exons: 2
Source: RefSeq, a predicted model, not a curated record
UUGUUUUCCAGCAUUACAUAUGCCAGAGUAGUAUGUUAGCAAUUAUAUGUUAACUUGCAUAUCUCUGCUCUCACUGUGGCUGCUCUACAGAGGAGUUCAUUCUAGUGCCACUCAUAUAAGAAGGGGGAGGAUGUCUACUCAGCAUGCAUUAAUAUGCGGCACAUAGCAACGUGUCUGAAUGCCAGUCUUCAAUUCUUCAUUACACAAAAUGGCUGGAUUGCAGUGAUUGUUUUCGUCUGCAUACACACACUCUCAAGGCAUUUUCUGUUCCAGCCUAGGCUUAUCAGUGUAGUGGCUUGUGUGAGCAGUUGGUUGUGGCAUGCACAAGGGGAUUCCUGCCAAACAUCAAGGCCUUUUUUUAUGCCAUAGAUCAACAAGUGGCAAAAUCAAUGGUAUACAGUUAUUCAGCAGUGCAAUUCAUUUCACUGGCUUUGGCUGGUAGCCAGAUCCGCCAUCUGUCUUUCGCUCUGUCUUCUCUCUCGCUUGAAUUUGUCCUACAUUUUGUUAUGAUAUGUGCUUGCCAUCUUUAUCGUGCGACAGAGGUAAAUACCAGCCUCCCAUAUCUGCCGUGGGGGUUUUUUGUGCAUUUGGUGGCACUCUGGAUACUUCAUUUCUGUGCCAUUGGGCAAAAAAGAGAAGCCAAGAGAAAAUGCUAUAGCCUACAUGUAUUCUCUUGCUACUGCCUGAGCUUUCCUCUUCUUUUUUUUUUGUUUAAAGCAUUAAGAUGGAUCUGUCUCACAUGGGAACAUUUCCGGCUUCAUUAGAGUAUCUUCGUUUUCUUUAUUAGAGACUGGCACCAUACGCCACUGCACAGCUCAUGGAAUGCCUGCUGUUGGAUACUUGCAAAUCUCUGCCACCAAGCAACCUCUUGCAAUGGAAAUAGGGUGACUUCACCAGGAUCUUAUGUGUGCUUGCUGUCUGAAGCUGCAGAAAAGUGAAUAAUCAAUUAAGUAUUGAUUUCUUGUACGAUUUGGUAAAUUUCAAAGGCAAGACAAAGAGGAUGGCUUAAAGGAAAGCACUGCAGGGACUUGGCGUAAAUUAAACAACUAACAGCAGUGAAGAAUAAAAUAACACCUCAACUGAAUAUUUCCUUGGAAGAAUUAGUACCAGCUAUUGGAAGACAAUGGUGGAUUUAAUCAAAGCAGCAAGCGACCGAGCAUUUUAACUAUGAGACUGGAAAAGGAGUUAAUUAUACCCACCUCUUUUAAUGGAGCUAAUUUGACUGAAUGGAUGCAAAUGUGCUUUAUUUAUGGAUGACAAAACAAGCCUUCCAGCAUCGAAGUCGGAAUUAUCACAUAUGUUUAGCUUCAAAUCCUUCUUUUUUUAAAUGAACAGCCUGAUCUCCAAGCCAUAUUCCAAAAGCAUAUCACGAGAAACACUGUACAUAAAGCCGAAACACAAAGACGUUGUGCAAAUAAUGAAUCCUCAUUUGCAUCAGCAUUUGCAUUCAGAUUUGCUAGGCUUUAAACUUGGCAGAUCAAGCAGAAUAUUAAACAUUGAGUCCAAUAAGAAAUUGAAAGUAUCUGGUUUAUGUGGCUAUGUGGUAAUGGGAGAUAAAGUCCUAUAGAUGCAAUAUGCACUGGAAAGGGACAUGGCACUGAUUCUUUCUUCAUAGACAUGUCAAUCUGGACAGCAGGGUCAGAAUGAGACAAGGAUACACUUGUGAGGAUUUUAUCUGAAGAAAUACUGAUGUGUGACUAAGCAAUAUCUCUGCUGUCUAGGAAUAGGGGGGAACUAUUCUCUUGUUCCAGGAAGAGUACUCUAAAGGCAGUUCGUUUUUUAGCAUUAAAGACACACACACACACAUAUAUAUAUUCUUGCUUGUAUAUAAUUUAAAUAUUUACAUAUUCCCUAAUUCACUUGAAAACAAAUAUUUCAAACCAUCUAAUGAUUAUAAGUACAUCUCAAAUGCUGUAAUAAAUUGUGGUGCAUUGUAUAAACAUGUUGUUUAAACUGAUGAAAACAAAAACUGCAAGUUGUACUUUGAGUAUCAGUAGGUACUUCUUUCAGAAAAAGCUUGAGAUCUUAUUGUCAUUAAAAAAAAAACUUGUUUAGCCUGUAUUUCAAUGUUUCUCUUGUAUGAGAUUUAAUUUAUUAGAUACUAGCAUUGAUACUAGAAUGAAAUUGUUUUCAUGUUAAACCACCUAAGUUAUCAUGAAAUGAUUUUAUUUUACCAAAGUGUUGAAACCUUGGGCCUAUUGUUUUAUUCUUUCACAAUGAAAUGAUAAAGUCAUAUAUUAUUCAUGUAUUAUUUCAGCUGUUGACUUUAGAUUAGUUUGGUUUAGUUUAAUAGAAAUUUUGCCUACAUAAUUCUGUACCAUUAAACAUCAAACAUUAUCGCACAUUAUCAUAUAUAUAUUCAUUUAUAAAUGACUUUAUACUAUUCAUUGCUUUCACACAUCUUGUAAUAAAUUUGUAUUUGUCAUAAUGUCAAUUUUUAUUCAUUUAAAAUGCAUCUUAUUUAACAGCGGUAAUACUGAGUUCUCUUUGCUGCUGUAAAUGUGGAGAAUGCACAUCAAUUGUUUCAAGUUAUGGGAACGUAAUUCAAUUUACAUUAUGAAAAGUAGUUAAUAUUACAUUUGGGAGAAAUGGAAACUUCCAAGCUUACCAAGAGGUAUUUCACAAUUGGAGGUGUCCAAACAUUUGGGGUUUAAUGUGACUAAGAAAUUAUGCAUAUUUAAACUUCUUCUUAAUUGUAUUGUGUGUUAAGAUAAGCUCUCUAACAACUUCAGUUUUUACUAGGCUGCAUGCUUUGGAGCUAAACUGAAGUCUUUUUGAAGUUGAAAAACUUGGAGGCAAUAUAUCAACAAUGUAAUAUAAUCAAUAAGGAGUGUGUAUAAAAUGUAUUGCAUUUCAUGAUCUAGGUCUGAUCUUUUGUUUGUAAAACUCUGCUUGAGUAUAUUUAUAAUCUUUUACAAGUCAAUUAUAACUAUUAUUUUUGUAUGUGUGACUAUGUAGAUACAUUAUCUUGUAUGUGAAAUGCUUUGGGCCUGAGGUCUUCUGGAUCCCCAGAAAUUCUGCUAAAAAUCAUUCAAAUAUUAAAUAAACUCAACAGGAUUGUUUUGCAACCUGUAUACUGUAUGACCCCCAGAUGAUGCUCCCCUGUGAGUCGAAUAAGGAGGAAUACUGUAAAUCUUUAUUGUGUUACCAUAUGAACUGACCUGGCGUGAGUACUGAAGACGGCUCAAGAGAUGGAGCCGAAACGUUGAAAAUAAAUUUUUAUUAAGCUUUUUAUGGAUAUAUAUUUUACAUUACCCAGUAAAUUUCUUGUCUAUUGGGGUGCACUUAAUACACUAAGCACAUUUAUAAAAAUGUAUAAGUAAAAGACACUGACUGUUGUUAGAAGGGCCUAAGUGUGAUUAAUAUUCUCCAGGUGUUUGGCAUGUUUUGUCAUUGUAAUGUUCUAACGAAGCCAGCAUGCAUUCAUAUGUAUAUGAAAUCCAUUGGAGUAUGCAGAGCAAGUUAAUAAAUAACUAAACUACUGUA